This 310-nucleotide ribosomal RNA is filed under the name uncultured Methanomicrobiales archaeon. Its description in RNAcentral is "bacterial SSU rRNA". It matches the Rfam family "Archaeal small subunit ribosomal RNA", at positions 1028 to 1338 of the family's 1478-position model. Lineage: Archaea; Methanobacteriati; Methanobacteriota; Methanomicrobia; Methanomicrobiales. The record is from RNAcentral.
GUUAAGUCAGGCAACGAGCGAGACCCACGCCAACAGUUGCCAGCUCGUCCUCCGGGAUGGUGGGACACUGUGGGACCGCCUCUGACUAAGAGGAGGAAGGAAUGGGCAACGGUAGGUCAGCAUCGCCCCGAAUUAUCUGGGCUACACGCGGGCUACAAUGGGUGGGACAAUGGGUAUCGACACCGAAAGGUGAAGGCAAUCUCCUAAACCCAUCCGUAGUUCGGAUUGUGGGCUGCAACUCGCCCACAUGAAGCUGGAAUCUGUAGUAAUCGUGUCUCAAAAUGGCACGGUGAAUAUGUCCCUGCUCCUU